RNAcentral lists this ribosomal RNA (468 nucleotides) under uncultured bacterium. Its description in RNAcentral is "partial 16S ribosomal RNA". It matches the Rfam family "Bacterial small subunit ribosomal RNA", at positions 28 to 507 of the family's 1533-position model. The record is from RNAcentral.
GACGAACGCUGGCGGCGUGCUUAACACAUGCAAGUCGAACGGAAAGGCCCUGCUUUUGUGGGGUGCUCGAGUGGGGAACGGGGGAGUAACACGAGAGUAACCUGCCCUUGACUUUGGGAUAACUUCAGGAAACUGGGGCUAAUACCGGAUAGGAGCCCCCGCUGCAUGGUGGGGGUUGGAAAGUUUCGGCGGUUGGGGAUGGACUCGCGGCUUAUCAGCUUGUUGGUGGGGUAGUGGCUUAACAAGGCUUUGACGGGUAGCCGGCCUGGGAGGGUGGCCGGCCACAUUGGGACUAGGAUACGGCCCAGAGUCGUACGGGGGGCAGCAGUGGGAAGUAUGACACAAUGGGCGGGAGCCUGAGGCAGAAGCGCCGCGUGCGGGAUGACGGCCUUCGGGUUAUAAACCGCUUUAGCCUGUGACGAAGCGUGAGUGACGGUAAUGGAUAAAGAAGCACCGGCUAACUACGUG